This is a long non-coding RNA of Micropterus dolomieu (smallmouth bass), 448 nucleotides long. RefSeq lists it as uncharacterized. The record is from RefSeq and is a predicted model, not a curated record. Lineage: Eukaryota; Metazoa; Chordata; Actinopteri; Centrarchiformes; Centrarchidae. The transcript has 3 exons.
UUGACAACAGGAAAAAACAGGGCCAGGAUUAAUAGCGUAGCAUGGAGCUUAUCUUCCCUCUGAGGCCUUGCUUCUCCACCAGGGCUUUGCAAUACAGGGCAAAGACACACAGCAAGGUGAAAAAGUCUGCCAACUGCUUCAGGUUGGUGCCAGCUGAGGCCACCCAGACCACAUCCUCCUUGGCUAGAAUUGAUGGUGUCUGCUCUAAAAGUCUUCUGUGUCAAGAAUGAAUACAGGCUAACGUUUCCUCCCUUGGUGUGAAAUGCUAUCCUUUGGCCUCUGGGAGCAGAAGCCUAAGCCCUGGCACUGAACACCAUCUUGGCUCUGUGUACACAAACACACUUUUCCCUCAUCAAUAUUUAAAUACCCUUUUUAUCAGACCUAAACCAUGUGCUUACCCAAGUGCAUCAACAUCAUAAAACUGUAAAAGUAAAAUAAAGUUAAAUGG